This 694-nucleotide ribosomal RNA is filed under the name cf. Tubulicrinis sp. 1 LR-2015. Its description in RNAcentral is "eukaryotic LSU rRNA". The stretch from base 260 to 413 matches the Rfam family "5.8S ribosomal RNA". Lineage: Eukaryota; Fungi; Basidiomycota; Agaricomycetes; Hymenochaetales; Tubulicrinaceae. The record is from RNAcentral.
UUAGAGGAAGUAAAAGUCGUAACAAGGUUUCCGUAGGUGAACCUGCGGAAGGAUCAUUAUCGAGUUUGAAUGCGGGCUCUGAUGCUGGCUUCGGCAUGUGCUCGAGCCCCGCUCAUCCACUCAACCCCUGUGCACUUUAGAGGUGUAGUCCUCCGUCAUGGGAGCCGCUCUCCGGAGCUGGGACUGCGCCUCGACCCUUCUACACAAACACCUGUAAAGUCUAGUGAAUGUGAUCGCCCUCUGGGCGGAAUUGUAAUACAACUUUCAACAACGGAUCUCUUGGCUCUCGCAUCGAUGAAGAACGCAGCGAAAUGCGAUAAGUAAUGUGAAUUGCAGAAUUCAGUGAAUCAUCGAAUCUUUGAACGCACCUUGCGCUCCUUGGUAUUCCGAGGAGCAUGCCUGUUUGAGUGUCAUGAAUAUCAUCAACCUCCGCCGCGUUUUGCGUGGUCGGAAGGCUUGGACUUUGGGGGUUUCUGGCGGCCUCUUCUCGAGGUCGCCUCCCCUGGAAUGCAUUAGCUGGACGCGAUCCUGGUCCCUUGCGCGGAGCUCGGACUUCCACGGUGUAGUACGCUAUUCACCUGGGACGACGCCUCCCGACCGCUUCGAGUCCGCUUCGAAUCGUCUUCGGACAACCUUUGACAAUCUGGCCUCAAAUCAGGUAGGACUACCCGCUGAACUUAAGCAUAUCAAUAAG